GAAGGAUUUAAGUUAGUUAAACUAGUAACCUUCAAAGUUGCCAUCAUAGGCUCCCCCCCCCCCUUUAAGCCUU
Molecule: transfer RNA, 73 nt
Filed under: Elateridae sp. 2 ACP-2013
Lineage: Eukaryota; Metazoa; Arthropoda; Insecta; Coleoptera; Elateridae
Description: tRNA-Trp
Source: RNAcentral